This 468-nucleotide ribosomal RNA is filed under the name uncultured bacterium. RNAcentral's name for it is "partial 16S ribosomal RNA". It matches the Rfam family "Bacterial small subunit ribosomal RNA", at positions 28 to 507 of the family's 1533-position model. The record is from RNAcentral.
GACGAACGCUGGCGGCGUGCUUAACACAUGCAAGUCGAACGGAAAGGCCCUGCUUUUGUGGGGUGCUCGAGUGGCGAACGGGUGAGUAACACGUGAGUAACCUGCCCUUGACUUUGGGAUAACUUCAGGAAACUGGGGCUAAUACCGGAUAGGAGCUCCUGCUGCAUGGUGGGGGUUGGAAAGUUUCGGCGGUUGGGGAUGGACUCGCGGCUUAUCAGCUUGUUGGUGGGGUAGUGGCUUACCAAGGCUUUGACGGGUAGCCGGCCUGAGAGGGUGACCGGCCACCUUGGGACUGAGAUACGGCGCAGAAUCCUACGGGAGGCAGCAGGGGGGAAUAUUGCACAAUGGGCGGAAGCCUGAUGCAGCAACGCCGCGUGCGUGAUGACGGCCUUCGGGUUGUAAACCGCUUUCGCCUGUGACGAAGCGUGAGUGACGGUAAUGGGUAAAGAAGCACCGGCUAACUACGUG